This 274-nucleotide ribosomal RNA is filed under the name uncultured bacterium. RNAcentral describes it as "partial 16S ribosomal RNA". It matches the Rfam family "Bacterial small subunit ribosomal RNA", at positions 523 to 796 of the family's 1533-position model. The record is from RNAcentral.
CUACGGAGGGUGCAAGCGUUGUUCGGAAUCACUGGGCGUAAAGGGCGCGCAGGCGGUUUUACAAGUCAGAUGUGAAAGCCCACGGCUUAACCGUGGAAGUGCAUUUGAAACUGUAAGACUUGAGUAUCAGAGGGGAAGGUGGAAUUCCCGGUGUAGAGGUGAAAUUCGUAGAUAUCGGGAGGAAUACCGGUGGCGAAGGCGACUUUCUGGCUGAAUACUGACGCUGAGGCGCAAAAGCGUGGGGAGCAAACAGGAUUAGAAACCCGAGUAGUCC